RNAcentral lists this ribosomal RNA (479 nucleotides) under uncultured bacterium. RNAcentral's name for it is "partial 16S ribosomal RNA". It matches the Rfam family "Bacterial small subunit ribosomal RNA", at positions 28 to 507 of the family's 1533-position model. The record is from RNAcentral.
GACGAACGCUGGCGGCGCGCUUAACACAUGCAAGUCGAGCGAUGAAAUUUCGACAGAUCCCUUCGGGGUGAAGAUGAAAUGGAUUAGCGGCGGACGGGUGAGUAACACGUGAGUAACCUGCCUUUGACAUUGGGAUAGCCUCGGGAAACUGGGAUUAAUACCAAAUGACACUAACUGAUCACAUGAUCAAUUAGUCAAAGAAAUUCGGUCAAAGAUGGACUCGCGGCUGAUUAGCUAGUUGGUGAGGUAACGGCCCACCAAGGCGACGAUCAGUAGCCGGCCUGAGAGGGGGAUCGGCCACAUUGGAACUGAGACACGGUCCAAACUCCUACGGGAGGCAGCAGUGGGGAAUAUUGCACAAUGGGGGAAACCCUGAUGCAGCGACGCCGCGUGAGCGAAGAAGGCCUUCGGGUCGUAAAGCUCUUUUAUGAGGGAAGAUAAUGACGGUACCUCAAGAAAAAGCCCCGGCUAACUACGUG